UAGAAAAUGGAUAGAACUAAAACCUGUUCUAGAACAAUACGAGCUAUGUCCCAGGGUGUAGAUGCUGUUCCUUCUGAAGUGGGAAGAGUGUUCUUUCUGUGUCACAAGUCAGUGUGGCCUGUCUGCAUCCCUACCUUAUUGUUAUUACAAAGGCAGCCUUGUCAUAGAACUCCAGGUACCUCUGGGACUUAGAUCUGUCUGGGGUCUGAGCCACCACGCUAGGUGCUAAUUUCCACAAAGUUGCAAUCAAAUUAAAAGUUAUAUCUGACUCUGAAGCGAGGGGCCACUUGGGACCAGAAAUGGCUUGCCUUUUAUUUUCCAUUCCCAGUAUUGUGUAAUGAACACAGCAUAUGGCACAUUUUAAUUUCAGCAAAUAUUAAUUUUUAAUGGGAAGUAUACACCUGGCUUUGUAUUGUUCCAAAAUUAUCACAAAGGCCAGAAGUUUUUUUAUGUGAUUUUGAUGCAAUUGUAAUUAAAGUGAAGAAACCAAUACACAUAUUUUGAUAGAAAGUGUGUCACCCAGGUUGCCCUUAAACUCAAGAUUCUCUGAAUGCUAGAAACUCAGGUGGGCCACUGCACCCAGCAAGUAGUAAAUACUCCUCUCUAGUGACUGGGAUACUCAUCUGCAAAGACACCCAUGGGUACAGAUUCUCUGUGAAGCAUGUUGCAUCUUCAAUGCAGUAAAUUUUCAGAGUCUAGGCUGUUCUUUAGCAUCUGCUGGUAAUUUGGCCCUCUGAGAAAAAUUACAAUAUAGCUACCAAGACUGAAAGUUAAUAUGCACCAAGUAAAGGUGAAAUUCUAUUGUAUUAUUAUCUGGCAAUAAAAAAAAAUCAAUAUUUGGUGAUUGCCUCAGUGCUUUUAUGUAUCUAACAAUGACCUUAAAGUUCUGGUUUUCCCUUUCUGCCUCCUAUGUGUUAGGCUUACAAGUGUGUACUAUCACAUCAAGUUUUGUGUGACACUGGGAAAUGAAAACCAAGCAUCAUUCUUGUUAGGAAAGCACUCCAUUAAAGUAGCUGCAUCCUUAUUCCUUGUCCUCUAUUUAGUGCAUGAUAUUUGUAUUCAUUCCAUUUGUCUGCCCUUGUGGGGAACUUAGGAAGGCGAGAGAGAGAGAGAGAGAGAGAGAGAGAGAGAGAGAGAGAGAGAGAGAGAGAGAGAGAGAGAGAAAGAUAUAGAGAGCACAGAGAUGACACAGGGACAGUGAAAGACAGACGUGUGUGCGCGUGCGCACACACACACACACACAGAGAGAGAGAGAGAGAGAGAGAGAGAGAAACAACAAAAUAAGUAUAGAAAUCACACAAGGUAUCACUUCUCAGCUACUUGUAAACACAACUCAUUUUUUAAUGUUUUUAUUACAGAGGCGUCCAUAUUCUAUUUGUAAUUCAUUUCCCUGAGGGAACUUUAGACCUCACAGGUCUGUUUGCAAUUCCUAUCAGAUUGGAGAGUUGCAGAAAGAACAGAAUAAUGGAAAUUCACAAGUUGCUCAAUCUUAACACACACACACACACACACACACACACACACACACACACACAGAGUCUAGUUUCUUGGCCUCACAGUUUCUUACAUCUGUAGACCUUGGUGUUUUUAAUCUCAUACAUUUGGUUGGAACUUGAUAUUCAUAACUGGCAGAUAUGAUAAAAAUUUAAAUCAGAAAUUGAUGAUGAUAAUGAGCAAGAACAGAUGCAAGUAUGUAGUUUACACUUUAUAACUGAGUCUUCCAGUUUCAUUUUGGCUCUUUGUACUGGGACUAGUCUUUGGAGGCAGUGUUCAAGGCUGACUCCCAUUCAUGCUGAAAAGAAUCCCCUGGAGCUCUCCAGCAUAUCUGAGAAUGAAAAAAUAGAACAAAUAGUUUAGAAUUUAUAUAAAUAUGUAUUUAUACUCCAUGUGGGAAUUCAUAAUGGGUGGGACAAAUCUUGUCACAUCAAUCUAAGCGGAGCAUCAAAUAGUUUGAAAGGAGGAACUAGGAUCGAUAAAAUGUCUUCUGGAUUCUUAGCAUAAAUGGACAUAGAGAGUUGCUUGAGUGUCACAUGACAAAGAUCCAGCUACCUAAUGGGUGAUAGCAUUUCCAUCUCAAUAUGUAUUGAUACUGUCUUGGAAAGUUUUUCCAACAUAUUUAGUUUACAGAGUAGUAAAUAUAGGCUACAG
This 2148-nucleotide long non-coding RNA is filed under the name Mus musculus (house mouse). Its description in RNAcentral is "long non-coding RNA chr16:6591491-6593639". The record is from RNAcentral. Lineage: Eukaryota; Metazoa; Chordata; Mammalia; Rodentia; Muridae.